Molecule: long non-coding RNA, 93 nt
Organism: Trachymyrmex septentrionalis
Lineage: Eukaryota; Metazoa; Arthropoda; Insecta; Hymenoptera; Formicidae
Exons: 3
Source: RefSeq, a predicted model, not a curated record
UCUUCCAAAAUUGGGGAGCUCAAUGGCGGAGGCUGUAGCCACGAGGGCUAGCAGUGCUAAUGCGAAUUUCAUCUUUGAAAUGUUGCCAGUAAA